GGGCCCGCACAAGCGGUGGAGCAUGUGGUUUAAUUCGAUGCAACGCGCAGAACCUUACCGAGACUUGACAUCCCGUGCCUAUCUGUGAAAGCAGAGUCUGCCUUCGGGCACACGGAGACAGGUGGUGCAUGGUUGUCGUCAGCUCGUGUCGUGAGAUGUUGGGUUAAGUCCCGCAACGAGCGCAACCCCUGUCCUUAGUUACCAGCGAGUAAAGUCGGGGACUCUAAGGAGACAGCCGGUGAAAGCCGGAGGAAGGUGGGG
Molecule: ribosomal RNA, 261 nt
Filed under: uncultured prokaryote
Description: partial 16S ribosomal RNA
Rfam family: Bacterial small subunit ribosomal RNA
Source: RNAcentral